RNAcentral lists this ribosomal RNA (2892 nucleotides) under Klebsiella pneumoniae. RNAcentral describes it as "bacterial LSU rRNA". It matches the Rfam family "Bacterial large subunit ribosomal RNA". The record is from RNAcentral. Lineage: Bacteria; Pseudomonadati; Pseudomonadota; Gammaproteobacteria; Enterobacterales; Enterobacteriaceae.
UUAAGCGACUAAGCGUACACGGUGGAUGCCCUGGCAGUCAGAGGCGAUGAAGGACGUGCUAAUCUGCGAAAAGCGUCGGUAAGGUGAUAUGAACCGUUAUAACCGGCGAUGUCCGAAUGGGGAAACCCAGUGCAAUUCGUUGCACUAUCGUUAACUGAAUACAUAGGUUAACGAGGCGAACCGGGGGAACUGAAACAUCUAAGUACCCCGAGGAAAAGAAAUCAACCGAGAUUCCCCCAGUAGCGGCGAGCGAACGGGGAGCAGCCCAGAGUCUGAAUCAGCUUGUGUGUUAGUGGAACGGUCUGGAAAGUCCGACGGUACAGGGUGAUAGUCCCGUACACCAAAAUGCACAGGCUGUGAACUCGAAGAGUAGGGCGGGACACGUGGUAUCCUGUCUGAAUAUGGGGGGACCAUCCUCCAAGGCUAAAUACUCCUGACUGACCGAUAGUGAACCAGUACCGUGAGGGAAAGGCGAAAAGAACCCCGGCGAGGGGUGAAAAGAACCUGAAACCGUGUACGUACAAGCAGUGGGAGCACCUUCGGGUGUGACUGCGUACCUUUGUAUAAUGGGUCAGCGACUUAUAUUCUGUAGCAAGGUUAACCGUAUAGGGGAGCCGCAGGGAAACCGAGUCUUAACUGGGCGUUAAGUUGCAGGGUAUAGACCCGAAACCCGGUGAUCUAGCCAUGGGCAGGUUGAAGGUUGGGUAACACUAACUGGAGGACCGAACCGACUAAUGUUGAAAAAUUAGCGGAUGACUUGUGGCUGGGGGUGAAAGGCCAAUCAAACCGGGAGAUAGCUGGUUCUCCCCGAAAGCUAUUUAGGUAGCGCCUCGUGAACUCAUCUUCGGGGGUAGAGCACUGUUUCGGCUAGGGGGUCAUCCCGACUUACCAACCCGAUGCAAACUACGAAUACCGAAGAAUGUUAUCACGGGAGACACACGGCGGGUGCUAACGUCCGUCGUGAAGAGGGAAACAACCCAGACCGCCAGCUAAGGUCCCAAAGUCAUGGUUAAGUGGGAAACGAUGUGGGAAGGCACAGACAGCCAGGAUGUUGGCUUAGAAGCAGCCAUCAUUUAAAGAAAGCGUAAUAGCUCACUGGUCGAGUCGGCCUGCGCGGAAGAUGUAACGGGGCUAAACCAUGCACCGAAGCUGCGGCAGCGACACUAUGUGUUGUUGGGUAGGGGAGCGUUCUGUAAGCCUGCGAAGGUGACCUGUGAGGGUUGCUGGAGGUAUCAGAAGUGCGAAUGCUGACAUAAGUAACGAUAAAGCGGGUGAAAAGCCCGCUCGCCGGAAGACCAAGGGUUCCUGUCCAACGUUAAUCGGGGCAGGGUGAGUCGACCCCUAAGGCGAGGCCGAAAGGCGUAGUCGAUGGGAAACAGGUUAAUAUUCCUGUACUUGGUGUUACUGCGAAGGGGGGACGGAGAAGGCUAUGUUAGCCGGGCGACGGUUGUCCCGGUUUAAGCAUGUAGGCUGGUUAUCCAGGCAAAUCCGGAUAAUCAAGGCUGAGGUGUGAUGACGAGGCACUACGGUGCUGAAGUAACAAAUGCCCUGCUUCCAGGAAAAGCCUCUAAGCAUCAGGUAACAUCAAAUCGUACCCCAAACCGACACAGGUGGUCAGGUAGAGAAUACCAAGGCGCUUGAGAGAACUCGGGUGAAGGAACUAGGCAAAAUGGUGCCGUAACUUCGGGAGAAGGCACGCUGGUGUGUAGGUGAAGUCCCUGCGGAUGGAGCUGAGACCAGUCGAAGAUACCAGCUGGCUGCAACUGUUUAUUAAAAAACACAGCACUGUGCAAACACGAAAGUGGACGUAUACGGUGUGACGCCUGCCCGGUGCCGGAAGGUUAAUUGAUGGGGUUAUCCGUAAGGAGAAGCUCUUGAUCGAAGCCCCGGUAAACGGCGGCCGUAACUAUAACGGUCCUAAGGUAGCGAAAUUCCUUGUCGGGUAAGUUCCGACCUGCACGAAUGGCGUAAUGAUGGCCAGGCUGUCUCCACCCGAGACUCAGUGAAAUUGAACUCGCUGUGAAGAUGCAGUGUACCCGCGGCAAGACGGAAAGACCCCGUGAACCUUUACUAUAGCUUGACACUGAACAUUGAGCCUUGAUGUGUAGGAUAGGUGGGAGGCUUUGAAGCGUGGACGCCAGUCUGCGUGGAGCCAACCUGAAAUACCACCCUUUAAUGUUUGAUGUUCUAACGUUGGCCCCUGACCGGGGUUGCGGACAGUGUCUGGUGGGUAGUUUGACUGGGGCGGUCUCCUCCCAAAGCGUAACGGAGGAGCACGAAGGUUAGCUAAUCCUGGUCGGACAUCAGGAGGUUAGUGCAAUGGCAUAAGCUAGCUUGACUGCGAGCGUGACGGCGCGAGCAGGUGCGAAAGCAGGUCAUAGUGAUCCGGUGGUUCUGAAUGGAAGGGCCAUCGCUCAACGGAUAAAAGGUACUCCGGGGAUAACAGGCUGAUACCGCCCAAGAGUUCAUAUCGACGGCGGUGUUUGGCACCUCGAUGUCGGCUCAUCACAUCCUGGGGCUGAAGUAGGUCCCAAGGGUAUGGCUGUUCGCCAUUUAAAGUGGUACGCGAGCUGGGUUUAGAACGUCGUGAGACAGUUCGGUCCCUAUCGCCGUGGGCGCUGGAGAAUUGAGGGGCUGCUCCUAGUACGAGAGGACCGGAGUGGACGCAUCACUGGUGUUCGGGUUGUCAUGCCAAUGGCACUGCCCGGUAGCUAAAUGCGGAAGAGAUAAGUGCUGAAAGCAUCUAAGCACGAAACUUGCCCCGAGAUGAGUUCUCCCUGAGACUUUAAGUCUCCUGAAGGAACGUUAAAGACGAUGACGUUGAUAGGCCGGGUGUGUAAGCGCAGCGAUGCGUUGAGCUAACCGGUACUAAUGAACCGUGAGGCUUAACCU